Podarcis lilfordi (Lilford's wall lizard) is the source of this 79-nucleotide non-coding RNA. NCBI's taxonomy places the organism in Eukaryota, Metazoa, Chordata, Lepidosauria, Squamata, Lacertidae. The record is from the annotation of a GenBank genome assembly.
CGCAGCGCCCCUUCAGUGAAGCGGGAGGAGAAAUGGAAGGGGCUCCGUUUCUCCUCCUGCUUUGCUGGAGAGGCGCUGA